Molecule: ribosomal RNA, 399 nt
Filed under: uncultured bacterium
Lineage: Bacteria
Description: bacterial SSU rRNA
Rfam family: Bacterial small subunit ribosomal RNA
Source: RNAcentral
AGAGUUUGAUCCUGGCUCAGAACGAACGCUGGCGGCAGGCCUCAAACAUGCAAGUCUAGGGGGUGUAGCAAUACAUCACCGGCGGACGGGUGCGUAACGCGUGGGAAUGUACCUAUUGGUUCGGAACAACUGAGGGAAACUUCAGCUAAUACCGAAUGUGCCCUAACGGGGAAAGAUUUAUCGCCAAUGGAUCAGCCCGCGUUCGAUUAGCUAGUUGGUGGGGUAACGGCCCACCAAGGCGACGAUCGAUAGCUGUUCUGAGAGGAAGAUCAGCCACACUGGGACUGAGACACGGCCCAGACUCCUACGGGAGGCAGCAGUUGGGAAUCUUGGACAAUGGGGGAAACCCUGAUCCAGCCAUGCCGCGUGAGUGAUGAAGGCCUUCGGGUUGUAAAACUC